AGUGAACGCUGGCGGCAGGCCUAAUACAUGCAAGUCGGACGGCAGCACAGCAGAGCUUGCUCUGUGGGUGGCGAGUGGCGGACGGGUGAGGAAUACAUGGGAAUCUGCCCAGUCGUGGGGGAUAACGUAUGGAAACGUACGCUAAUACCGCAUGCGCCCUUAGGGGGAAAGCCGGGGACCGAAAGGCCUGGCGCGAUUGGAUGAGCCCAUGUUCGAUUAGCUAGUUGGCGGGGUAAAGGCCCACCAAGGCGACGAUCGAUAGCUGGUCUGAGAGGAUGAUCAGCCACACUGGGACUGAGACACGGCCCAGACUCCUACGGGAGGCAGCAGUAGGGAAUAUUGGACAAUGGGCGCAAGCCUGAUCCAGCCAUGCCGCGUGAGUGAAGAAGGCCCUCGGGUUGUAAAGCUCUUUUGUCCGGAAAGAAAAGCAUUCGGUUAAUACCCGGGUGUUCUGACGGUACCGGAAGAAUAAGCACCGGCUAACUUCGUG
This 490-nucleotide ribosomal RNA is filed under the name uncultured Thermomonas sp. Its description in RNAcentral is "bacterial SSU rRNA". It matches the Rfam family "Bacterial small subunit ribosomal RNA", at positions 29 to 507 of the family's 1533-position model. Lineage: Bacteria; Pseudomonadati; Pseudomonadota; Gammaproteobacteria; Lysobacterales; Lysobacteraceae. The record is from RNAcentral.